Mangifera indica (mango) is the source of this 345-nucleotide long non-coding RNA. RefSeq lists it as uncharacterized. The transcript is spliced from 3 exons. The record is from RefSeq and is a predicted model, not a curated record. Lineage: Eukaryota; Viridiplantae; Streptophyta; Magnoliopsida; Sapindales; Anacardiaceae.
GAGAGAGAGGAUUUUCUUAUUUUUCAAAACAAAAAGCAAGGUUUGGAGUAAUGAUUUUAGGAAGAGAAGAAUUGUGAGUAGGAGAAUAAAACAAGGAAAUAGUGUUGUUUUAUUUCAUUAAGGAUCCGAAUAGGUUGUACGUGAUAGCUUGGAUCGUAUAAGGGUUUGUGUAGACUUUUGCUGGUAGUCAAGAUUAAAGAUGUCAUAAAGUGUGAGUUUCUGUUUAGCUUUGGGGAAUAAAGAAUAAAAGAAGUUAGCUGGGAAGAUUGGCUAAGAGAGAAAAAAAAAAUUAGUUUAGUAACUAUUUGAUUGUAUGUUUUGUUUGAAAGAUUUUUCUUUUUUGUA